This 674-nucleotide ribosomal RNA is filed under the name uncultured euryarchaeote. RNAcentral describes it as "bacterial SSU rRNA". It matches the Rfam family "Archaeal small subunit ribosomal RNA", at positions 83 to 762 of the family's 1478-position model. The record is from RNAcentral. Lineage: Archaea; Methanobacteriati; Methanobacteriota.
CGGCUCAGUAACACGUGGAUAACCUACCCUCAGAUCUGGGAUAACUCCGGGAAACUGGAGAUAAUACCGGAUAAUCCGUGAACGCUGGAAUGCCUUACGGUUGAAAGCUUUAGCGUCUGAGGAUGGGUCUGCGGCCGAUUAGGUAGUUGCUGGGGUAACGUCCCAACAAGCCGAUAAUCGGUACGGGUUGUGAGAGCAAGAGCCCGGAGAUGGAUUCUGAGACACGAAUCCAGGUCCUACGGGGCGCAGCAGGCGCGAAAACUUUACACUGCGCGAAAGCGCGAUAAGGGGACCUCGAGUGCGUGCGCAAUGCGUACGCUUUUCAGAUGCCUAAAAAGCAUCUGGAAUAAGGGCCGGGCAAGACCGGUGCCAGCCGCCGCGGUAACACCGGCGGCUCAAGUGGUGGCCGCUAUUAUUGGGCUUAAAGGGUCCGUAGCCGGACCAGUUAGUCCCUUGGGAAAUCUUACGGCUUAACCGUAAGGCUGCCAAUGGAUACUGCUGGUCUUGGGACCGGGAGAGGCAAGAGGUACCUCAGGGGUAGGAGUGAAAUCCUGUAAUCCUUGAGGGACCGCCAGUGGCGAAGGCGUCUUGCUAGAACGGGUCCGACGGUGAGGGACGAAAGCUAGGGGCACGAACCGGAUUAGAUACCCGGGUAGUCCUAGCCGUAAACGAUG